Molecule: non-coding RNA, 98 nt
Filed under: Symbiodinium sp. Mp
Lineage: Eukaryota; Dinophyceae; Suessiales; Symbiodiniaceae
Source: RNAcentral
ACCUCACGGCUGCCGAAAUCGUGGUGAAAGAGGCACAGAGACGCGCUGCUCGCGAGAAGCGGCAGAACGCGUCUGCAAGUCAGCUGAACCUAAACCUU